RNAcentral lists this transfer RNA (87 nucleotides) under Cutaneotrichosporon oleaginosum. RNAcentral describes it as "Trichosporon oleaginosus tRNA". It matches the Rfam family "tRNA". Rfam says of the family: Transfer RNA (tRNA) molecules are approximately 80 nucleotides in length. Their secondary structure includes four short double-helical elements and three loops (D, anti-codon, and T loops). Lineage: Eukaryota; Fungi; Basidiomycota; Tremellomycetes; Trichosporonales; Trichosporonaceae. The record is from Rfam by way of RNAcentral.
GGUCGCGUGGCGAAAUGGCAUCGCGUCUGACUACGAUUAAGCAUCGUUUCUAUCAGGAGAUCGCGGGUUCGACCCCCGUCGUGACCU